GGCAGAUAUCAUGAUGUCUCACUUCUCAUAUGAAAAAUGAAAUAAUUAAUACAGGCUGAGAAUAAUUGACUAGCCAGCAUCUGACUUACUGUUUCUGAAAUACAGAGUAAUUCAUUUUUGUGAUAUCCUCUGUCCUAGCUUUUAUCUUCCAUCUUUCUAGGAAGAAGAGUUAUGAAAUAUGUUACAUGGUUUUCUCUUUUCACUACUUGAACUUGGUUUAUACAGGCUUGAGUUUACCUUCAGUUAUUAACCCAAAGGCUGCAUCAACAAAGAAGAGACAGAGAGAAGCUUUGAGAUGUUUUACUAGUGUGAAGGCAGUGGUAACACUGGGUGUAGCAACUUCAUGGAAUUUUGGAUCAUUGAGUAAAUUUGCACAUGCUGUAGAAUAGGUACUGUGGCCCACCUGUUGAAGAUUAGUUAAAUUAUUUUAUUUUGUUUUUUCUGUCUUAUUCUCUUUAGGUUCUAUCAGAAUUGUCUUGAUAUUGAGACUACGAUGUCCUUUUUCAAUGUAUAUUGUAUCUCUGUGAUUGGCAUGUUUUUCUAGUGUACGUUAUUUGGAUCAUACAUCGUUUGGAUUCUGUUGAUGUCUAGCAAGCUUGAGGGGACAACAUGGC
This 614-nucleotide long non-coding RNA is filed under the name Bos taurus (domestic cattle). RNAcentral describes it as "long non-coding RNA NONBTAT010684". Lineage: Eukaryota; Metazoa; Chordata; Mammalia; Artiodactyla; Bovidae. The record is from RNAcentral.